Molecule: long non-coding RNA, 9040 nt
Filed under: Triticum aestivum (bread wheat)
Lineage: Eukaryota; Viridiplantae; Streptophyta; Magnoliopsida; Poales; Poaceae
Description: long non-coding RNA (TAES_LNC011489)
Rfam family: MIR1120/MIR1122 microRNA precursor family (bases 7511-7645)
Source: RNAcentral
CGAUUGUCGCCUACCUCCACUCCUCACCAGGACGCUGGUAAUAUGAACUCUCUCUUCUCCUCUCUGUUUACCAAUUCUUCUAUUGUAUAGAAGCAUCUUUAUGUCAUAUGUCAACUUGUGAAAUUAGGGGAAGGAAUUAGUGUCAGGCUGCGUUAUCUGAAGAUUCACAUUCAGAGUACUGUGGCGAUUCCGGCACAUAACGGUUUGGGAGAUCCAACGGCCUAGAUUUGUUCCUCAAGCAGCUAGCGUCGCCAGCCGUUAGUUUGUUUUCCGUUACUAUUACUUUUCGUGUACGUCUGUCGACAGCUAGACAACUACCUACAUAACAGCCGGGUUGUGGCUGAGGAAGGCAUUGAAUCUUGUGUGAUCCUCAUCGAGGAUAAACCAUAUACUCAUACGGCAUAGCCGAUAGCAAUACCAAAUCCCUAAUCGGUGCCUCUUUCCUCGCAAUUACUUGUGAUUCAUCCAUACAUCUCCUUCCUCUGAACCUGUAGGACGACUAGGACCUAACAAAUUGGUAAUCAGAGCAGUGGUUCCUCGGUACCUUCCGAUCCGGUCUGAAAUUUUUCCAAGAGAGGCAAUAACACCCACCCAAUUUCCCUCCCUGUGUUGUGUGGUGAUGGCAGGCGGCGAUCGAUGGCGCGGUGAAGUUGUUUCUUGACUGUGACAUCUGGCGGCGGUGGAUCCAGGGUGGCGCAGGUGGCGGCGAUAGUUCGGGUAUAGAUUAGUAGAGCGGAGUGGUUGUGCUGGAUCACUUCCAGCAAGGUAAAAUCCCACGUCCUUCGUUGAUCAGUGUACCUUGGGAGGCGUGGAGCAUUGGCGGCGGCAGGAUUUGGUUUAGAGAGGCUGGCUGCCGUGUUUGCGGUGGUAAAAUUCCCCCUCUCUUCUCUAGAUCACGGUGAUGGGGCGCUCGAAGGCAGUUGAUGAGGCCGAGUGGCAGGAGGUGCUUUCUCUCCGAGAGGAAUUUGGUGCAGUACAACAGGAAAGUGCAACGAUGCGAACAGAUGUGUCAAAAUUACAGGAAGAUGUUCAGUCCAUCAGCUCCAAACAAGAUGACAUAGCACUGCAAGUGGGAGAAAUUGAGCGAGCAGUGUUAGAUCUGGGAAAACAAUUAUCCACAAUGAGUUCGGUUUUGCAGCAAUUGGUAGCUCCAUCCGGAUCAGGCACUAGAAAUGAACAACAACCUGAAGUUGACAUUGUUGUUCGCUCCCCAACAUUGCAAGAACAAUAGCAAGACAGACCACCUAGCAGAACUGCACAGCAGAGGCAACAGUUAGAAGCAGAAAAGGAAAAGACAAGACAAAUGGAAGAAUUCCACACUCAACAACUACCUCAGAUCAGAACUGCCAGAAAUGCACCACCACCUGGGUUUGGAGCUCAAGCUAACUUGGAGACAGCAAGUGUUGUGGGAACACCAGUAACACAAAGAAAGGGAAAUAACACCCCUGUUUUCCAACAGUAUCAGCAACCACCUCGAGACAGGCAAUUGUGGCAGGGUUACUUCAGGACUUAUGAGCAGGAUAUGCAGGCUCAAUUCAUGAAGACAAUGACCAAAGGCCCAAGGAUGGAUUCUCCUACGUUCUCUGGUGAAGACCCUGUAGGGUGGAUUAGACAGUGUAACAAAUAUUUCCAAAUGGCAGCAGCACCUGAAGAGUACAAAGUUUCACUUUCUCAGAUGUACAUGACUGGAGAGGCUGAUGUUUGGUUAAGAAGGUCUGGUUUGCUCAAGAAACAAUUAUCAUGGCAAGAACUUGGAAAAGAGAUCAUUAAGAGAUUCUCUGCACAAGGUUCUUAUGAUCUUACUCACAAAUUCACUUCUCUCAAACAAGGAAAUACUACAGUGUCUGAGUACACAAAAUUGUUUGAGGACUUAAUGGCUGAACUGCAGGAGGAAAAUCCUACACUGUCUGAACCUUGGUUUAUUAAGUCCUAUGUGAAUGGGAUGAGAGAUGGAAUAAAGUAUCAACUGAGACUUCUUAGACCCAUUUCUCUCACUGAUGCAUAUUUCCUGGCAAAGGAGAUUGAACCUUGUCACCCUCCUCCAGUGACACAGGUCAAGAAGUCCAUAGUGCCUUACAACAAUUAUUGGCAGAAAACUGUCACACCUGUAGCUGGCAAACAAGUGACAAAUACUGCUACAGUCCCAACAACUAUUGCCACAAAGAACACUGAACAUGUUAAUAGCCACAUUCAGAAAAGCAGAAAGGUGGGAGAAUGCUGGAGAUGUGGUGAUAAGUGGGUCCAUGGCCACAAGUGCACUCUAGUUCCUAAUGUGCACUUGUUACAACAAGAAAUGGAAGAAUUUGGUCCUGAAGAAACAGAUCUGGAUCAAUAGGAAGUAAUGGAAGUAGGAAUGGAAGAACAUGAGCAAUCAAUGUUUGUAUCUGCACAUGCUAUGGGCCAACAACUGGCUGUGCAAUCUCCCACGGUAAUUGUGCAUGUAAAUGGAAAAAGACCAGUAACACUAUUGGAUACAAGAAGUUCCACAUCUUUCAUCAGUGAGCAGUUUGCUAUUAAAUCAAACUGUCAACUACUUCUUGUUAAGCCUAGAAAAGUUACUGUAGCUGGAGGAGGACUGCUGCUUUCUGAUGCUGUAGUUCCAAAUUGUGCUUUCCAACUAGCCAAGCUAAAGUUAGAGCACUCUUUCAGAAUUCUCAACCUUCCAAGCCAUGAUAUGAUCUUAAGAUAUGAUUGGUUCUCAUUGGUCAGUCCAGUAGCCUUUGAUGUGCCAAAUAAUCAAUUCAGUUUCACUCUCCAAGGAAAAACAACAGUCACAACAGCAGUAUACAACUCCAAUGAGGAAAUCUUGGAAAUACGAGCAGAACAAGUAACUAAGUUGUUGGACAAGGGUGUGGAAACUUUUCUCCUCCAAAUUCACAAUAUUGUGGCUCAAACCCCUGAAAAGCACUGUAUCCCAGCUGUAAUAAACAAAUUGUUACAGGAGUACAAGGAUGUUUUUGCAGAACCAACAACAUUACCUCCCAAGAGAGAAUUGGACCAUAAAAUCCAUUUAAUGCCAGGAGUGGAUCCACCUCAUGUAAGGCCAUAUAGAGUUCCUCAUCAUGAAAAGGAAGAAAUGGAAAAGCAGAUCAAACACCUGCUGGAUAAUAAGCUCAUAAGGAACAGCCAGAGUCCAUAUGCAGCUCAUGUUCUGCUAGUAAAAAAGAAAGAUAGUACUAUGAGGCUUUGUACUGAUUUCAGAAAGUUGAACACUAUAACAGUGAAGAACAAGUUCCCUAUACCAGUCAUUGAGGAUCUACUGGAUGAGCUGCAUGGAGCAAAGACUUUUUCCAAAAUUGACUUAAAGUUAGUAUAUCAUCAAAUAAGAAUGGACCCUGCAGACAUUCAUAAAACUGCAUUCAAAACUUUUGUGGGGCACUAUGAGUACUUGGUGAUGCCUUUUGGAUUGUCUAAUGCACCAGCAACAUUCCAAGCUCUCAUGAAUUUCUUGUUUGCUAAGUACAAUAGGAAGUUUGUACUGGUGUUUUUUGAUGACAUCCUAUUGUUCAGCAACACUGUUGAAGAGCAUGUAGAACAUUUAAAGCAAGUGUUGCAAGUCUUGAGAGAAAACAAGUUGUUUGCAAAAAUGUGCAACUGUGCUUUUGCAGUUCCUCAAGUGGAAUAUUUGGGACAUGUAGUUUCUGGAGAAGGAUUAGCUACUGAGCCCAGCAAGAUUAAAGCAAUUGUGGACUAGCCUACACCCACUGAUAUCACUAAGCUGAGGAGUUUCUUGGGCCUAGCUGGUUACUACAGAAGGUUCAUUAAAGAUUAUGGAACAAUUUGCAGGCCUCUGUAUGAUGCUCUAAAGAAAGGGAAAUUCUAGUGGACAGCAGAGAAAGAUAAGGCUUUCAAGAGAUUACAACAAGCUUUGGUAACAACUCCAGUACUAGCCCUGCCCAAUUUCAAUGUCCCUUUUACCCUAGAAACUGAUGCUUCAGGCUAUGGCAUUGGUGAUGUCCUUAUGCAAGAAGGCAGACCAUUAGCAUACUAUAGUUCUUCACUCUGUCCAAGAAAUGUUGCCAUGUCUACUUAUGAGAAACAAGCACUUGCAAUCUUGGAGGCAUUAAAGAAAUGGAGACAUUACUUACUGGGAAAUUCAGUAAUCAUCAAAACUGAUCAGCAGUCUUUGAAAUUCAUAACUGACCAAAAGAUUACUGAAGGGAUACAACACAAAUUAAUGAUGAAGUUGCUAGAGUUCAACUUCACCAUUUAGUAUAAAAAGGGCAUUUCCAACAGAGUGGCUGAUGCUCUAUCUAGAGUACUUCCCAAAUGCAUGUCUAUCUCCACUGUUACUCCAGAGUGGGCAAAGGAGUUACUUAACAGUUAUCAAACUGAUCCAACCACCAAGAAGUUGCAGGAAAAAUUAUUAGUACGAUCUCCUGAGGACAAAUCUGAUUAUUCCAUACAUGUUGGCAUUAUCAGAUUUAAAGGCAAAAUCCUGGUGGGAAAUGACAACAACCUAAGGGAGAGAUUAAUUUCUGCUCUACAUAACUCACCUGUGGGAGGACAUUCAGGUAUGAGAGCCACAUAUCAGAGAGUGAAAGGAAUUUUCUAUUGGCCAGGUCUUAAGCAAGCUGUGGAAUAGUUCAUAGCUACUUGUCCAAUUUGUCAGAGAGCAAAGCAUGAAAAUUGCUUACAACCAGGACUUCUAGAUCCUUUGCCAGUUGCUGACAUGGCUUGGCAACAUAUCUCAAUGGAUUUCAUAGAAGGACUUCCCAAUUCCCAAGGGAAGGAUGUGAUUCUAGUGGUAGUUGGCAGGUUCACCAAGUACUCUCAUUUCAUACCUCUCUCACAUCCUUAUACUGUCCAUAGUGUAGCUCAAGCUUUUGUUGAUAACAUUAUCAAACUUCAUAGACCUCCAACACUCAUUAUCUCUAACAGAGAUAGAAUCUUUACCAGCCAACUAUGGAGAGACAUCUUUGCUGCAUACAAAAGUGAACUAAGGUACAGUUCAGCCUACCACCCUCAAACAGAUGGCCAAACAGAAAGGAUAAAUCAGUGCUUAGAGACAUACUUAAGGUGUAUGACUACACAAGAACCAAAGAAGUGGCUAGCAUGGCUUCCUCUAGCUGAGUAUUGGUACAAUACCAGCUAUCACACAACAUUGAAAAUGAGCCCCUUUCAAGCACUAUAUGGAUUCCCUCCCCCACUAAUUGCAGAGUUAGCAAUCGCUGGACCUGAUAAUGAGGAAGCACAGGACUUCUUAACAGCCAAGCAGAAUAUGUUGCACCAAUUGAAAGAAAACUUGCUGCAAGCUAAGAAUAGAAUGAAAAAGUAUGCAGAUUUGAAAAGAGUAGAGAGAAAAUUUGAAGUGGGUGAUUUGGUUUACCUGAAGAUGGCACCAUACAGGCUUGCAGCAUUUGGGUUCAGAGGAGCAAUUAAACUGCACAACAAAUACUAUGGACCAUUCUUGGUGAUCCAGAAAAUUGGCAACAUUGCGUAUAAGUUGCAAUUUCCAGAACAAGUGCAGAUGCACCUAGUUUUCCAUGUCACUCAGUUAAAAAAGCACUUGGGUCACAAGUCCAUUCCCAGCCCGCAUCUACCAAUGGUGAAUGUUGAUGGCACUAUCAAGACAGAACCUGCUCAAGUCUUGGAAGUCAGGAAGGUCCCUCGCAAAAACGUGCCAGUGGUACAGUGGUUGAUUCAAUGGGAAAAUAUACCAGCGGAGGAUGCAACCUGGGAAGAUGCUGAGUUCAUCAAGCACACCUUUCCGGCGUUCUUUCGGGCAACGACUGGAGCAUGGAGGACAAACAAAAAUACGCUGUGAGGACACGUCGGUUCUUCGGGAGGGGGUAAUGUCAGGCCGCGUUAUCUGAAGAUUCACAUUUAGAGUAUUGUGGCGAUUCCGGCACAUAACGGUUCGGGAGAUCCAACGGCCUAGAUUUUUUCCUCAAGCAGCUAGCAUCGCCAGCCGUUAGUUUGUUUGCCGUUACUGUUACUUUUCGUGUACGUCUGUCGACAGCUAGACAACUACCUACAUAAUAGCCGGGUUGUGGCUGAGGAAGGCAUUGAAUCUUGUGUGAUCCCCAUCGAGGAUAAACCCUAUACUCAUACGGCAUAACCGAUAGCAAUACCAAAUCCCUAAUCGGGGCCUCUUUCCUCGCAAUUACUUGUGAUUUGUCCAUACAUCUCCUUCCUCUGAACCUGUAGGACGACUAGGACCUGACAAUUAGAGAUUGGUAUUUAGUAAUUGGUAAUUAGCACUGUUGUGCGUGUAAAAGCUACUCAUAUUCACGGUACUACAUAGUUGUUCUGGGGUAUGCAAAGUCAUUUGCCUUCAUGUUUUAUCUUUGAUCUUCCCUACCUUAUUUUCAGAACUUGUGGAUAUCUUCUCUUCCAGAACUUUGUUGGCGAAGUUAUAAAAAUCUUACUUCAGAAACUUGUGAUUCUUUAACAAAACCUUGUUAUCCAUGUACUUACUUAAAAACAGAUUACAUCAUAGUCAAAUAAUGCCAACAAUUUUCAUUAUUUACUGAAUAAUAUAGAUAUAAAGUUGGUUGUAGCUUUGGUAGUUCAUAUAGAAGCAUAAAAAUGUGCUCACUUUGUCCCUGUUUUGUGAAAAGAAGAUCUAAUGCCUGGUGUAUUUUUCUGUUCCAUGUCGUCUACCUCAUGAUCUUCAAGUGUAUUGCAAUUCUAGUGCUUUGAGAUAUACUUGCCGUAUUCAUGUGUCGUUAUCUCAAAUCACUAAAAUUGCAAACAUCCUAUGUAGUUUGUACAUGAAUCACUACUACCCAUAUAAAAGAAUCAUAGAGCAGCAAAAAAUGAUAAUGACUCAAAUGUAAAUAUGUAGAAGUAUACCUAAUACUAACAUAAGUGAGUGCUACUUCUAAUUCUUUUUUGAGGGCUGCCUUACUGUAGAAGGGAAGGAGAAAACCCAAUCUGAGCAAAUCAAAUACACAAUCACCCAUAUCCCAGCAAAAUUAACAAUCAAAUGGGCCCACGAGCGCCUUCCAAAUCCACGAUGCACCAGGUGGCUAGAAUUCAAGAGAGCUUAGUAACUAGUUAGAUUAGACUAGAGAUUAUUAGUGUAUAUGAUGAAUGAUGUUGUUGUCCACAUUGUCUUGAUUGUCCGAUUUGAGUUGUUGUUUGCUAGUUGCGUAUAUCUGGAUCUUGUGCUUCCUAAUUGCUAGCAUAUCUAUAGUUGUUGGUUACUCUGUAGAAGUAAACAACUACCGGUAGACCAUUUGACCAAUCUAUCUUCCGUUGUUGCAAUAGUGAUAGUUUGGAUCAUUUGUGUAUUAGAACCAACAGAUAUAUACCAGAGCUGCUAUUGACACUCCAUGAACCGAGUCUGUUUAAGGCAUUAUAGGAAGACAUGUUAGUUUUGUCCCUUGUCACUCAGCGCAGUAACUACAUUUCUUUUUGUUACAGUGUAUCGAUGGAUUUAGAAUCUAUAAAGGAGCUAUUGCUUUCUCCUAGACCCAGUGAGGAAUACUUGGCUGGUGUAGAUGGUUUUCUUGACUUUGCGUACAUCAGAAAAAGUUCUGAUGCCAAGAUCCGUUACACAUGCGUCAUACUUCCUCCGUCCGGAAAUACUUGUCAUCAAAAUGAAUAAAAGGGGAUGUCUCUAGACGUAUAUUAGUUCUAGAUACAUCUCUUUUUAUCCAUUUUGAUGACAAGUAUUUUCGGACGGAGGGAGUACAUGUCAAUGCAUCUUUAUGGAAGCGGGAGGACGUGUAUGAUCACGUGGUUUGUAGCGCAUUUUCACCUGGAUAUACUGUUUGGGGUUGCCAUGGGGAAACAGCAUCAUUCAUCUCUACUAACAAACAAGGUGAAACUCCAACACACACAAGAAGUAACAAAAGGUCACGAUCACAGUUUGAAGGAACAAAAUCUAAUAUGCGUCAGUUAGUGGAAGAUGUUUUCUGUGGACCUCCAACGAUAGAACCUGAAACCCCAAAAUCUAAUAUGCGUCGGUUAGUGCAAGCCUCACCAAUUGUCUUGCAAUCAGAAACUUCCCUUACCAACUCCUCGUGGUCGUGGUCGAGCAACAUUUUCAUGAUUAUAUAUACACUGUAGUUUUACCUGAAGUCAAAGCUGAGUUUGCAUGACAUUAAGAACCAUUGUAUGUUCCUGCAGAUCGUUGGCUGAGCUUACACCCUUCAUAAAUUUUGAUGGAAUGAGGUCUUUCAAUCAACAUAUAAACCCAACUUUUGUUUUUCUUUAUUGCUUUUCAAUUUCUCGUUCUAUAUUUCCAUUGAUGCUGCCAUUGUGGAUUAUGAUAACUGUUAGUACCUCAUCCUUACUGUCCUGACACUUACUUGGUUGGGAAUAUUACGCAAAAUCUCAUCCACGGGUGAAAUAAUUCAUUGCUAAGAGAUGUGGCAAUAUAUUUAAUGCAUGCUUAUAUCAUCCGGGCAGUAUAUAAUAGAUGUGGCAGUAUAUUAUGCAAAAUUUCAUCCAAAGGUUAAAUAAUUUCGUCCAUGUUUCCUUUCCGAGAGAUGCACAUUUUGUUUUCCUGGUAUAUUUGAUGCACGAUGCAAUUUUUGCUGGCCCUCUAGUGUUUGUGUCUAGUUUGUCCAGUUAGGUGCAUCUGUGCUGGAUCAUACAUGUUAUCACUACGUGGCAAAUAUGAACCUAGCGCGAACUAAGAAAUCUCAUGUUCUACCAUAAAGCACCAAAUGUCCAUAUAUGUAUUGCAUUUAACUUGACUCUUUUCAUUUGUUAUGAACUUCUGCUCACGCGCUUAAGUGAAUCUUCUUUUUCAGGAAAUUUUGCAACUAGAGAUUAGAAGGAUUGUUCUAAAAUGAUGGAUGAAGUAAUGUGUUCUUUUAGCGGAGCUUUGUAUGUUUGCAUAGUUUUCACUCUUCAAAAUGAAGCUUGGAAAAUUUCAGAAAAUUUUAGCGGACUUAAGCUUCAUGUAUGAGAGAUUGUCAUUGGGAAUAGAUGCAUUUUUGUUGAAGAAGUAUUAUGUCAGAUUUACUAUCUUGUAAACUAUGUUUGAAAUUAAACCUGGAUGGCUGAUUCAACAUUUUCUUCUUUGUUGUUGUGAAACGACCUUUGCAUGUGUAAUUCAACAUGUCUUUUUGGUGAGUUUAUA